This 258-nucleotide ribosomal RNA is filed under the name uncultured bacterium. RNAcentral describes it as "partial 16S ribosomal RNA". It matches the Rfam family "Bacterial small subunit ribosomal RNA", at positions 793 to 1055 of the family's 1533-position model. The record is from RNAcentral.
GUCCACGCCGUAAACGAUGAGUACUAGGUGUAGGGGUCCAACCCUCUGUGCCGCAGUUAACACAAUAAGUACUCCGCCUGGGAAGUACGAUCGCAAGAUUAAAACUCAAAGGAAUUGACGGGGCCCGCACAAGCAGCGGAGCAUGUGGUUUAAUUCGAAGCAACGCGAAGAACCUUACCUGGACUUGACAUCCCCCUGAAUUACUCGUAAUGGAGGAAGCCCUUCGGGGCAGGGAGACAGGUGGUGCAUGGUUGUCGU